GUUAUUAGAGGGACAUCCAAUAAAAUUGGAACGAUACAAAGAAUAUUAGCAUGACCCCUGCACAAGGAUGACAUGCACAAAUCGAGAAAUGGUAUCGAUCAGA
Molecule: small nuclear RNA, 103 nt
Filed under: Cucumis sativus (cucumber)
Lineage: Eukaryota; Viridiplantae; Streptophyta; Magnoliopsida; Cucurbitales; Cucurbitaceae
Source: RNAcentral